This is a non-coding RNA of Paramuricea clavata, 291 nucleotides long. NCBI's taxonomy places the organism in Eukaryota, Metazoa, Cnidaria, Anthozoa, Malacalcyonacea, Plexauridae. The record is from the annotation of a GenBank genome assembly.
GAAAAGUUAAAAGAUAUAAAACACGAAUACGAAAACUCGAGAAAACUGGCAAGAAACACACAAAAAGACGUAUAGUUUCAGUAAAUAUGUACAUGCUUUUUCAUGAAUAUGGUAGCAGAGAACUGAGAGAAGCUUUGGAAUAAAAUCUUUUAUGCCUGGUGUUUUGGCUUUGGCUUUGACAAGUUGCUCCUGACAACGACAGGUUCAUGUUCAGAUCCGAUCAAAAACAUAUAAAAAUAAAUUAAUCUGUUUUGAUUUAAUUAACGUUUUUCUACUGAAAGGACAAUGAAA